CCAGCAUGGCCUCCCAGCAGCAGCUCCGUGCGGUGGCAGAUACAGUGCAGUGCCACAAAAAAUCCGAAAAGGACAAGGUUCACAGACGGUGUAAUUCCUGCAAGCUUGUGGAGGAGAAGGAGGAGAUCUGGAUGGCGGAAGGAGUAUGGCUGGGGCAGGAGUUGGAGCCCAGAGUGUGCCUCCCUCUUGGAUUUCUCUUGGCUGUGCCCUGGUGGAGCCUGUCUGCAACAUUUCCUCCAUCACACGCUUUUCAACAGCCUCAGGUCCUCACCUGAAGUCACCUUUGUUCAGCAGUCUAUGGUCCCUGGCAGGAGCUGCUACAGGACUGGACAGGACAGGACAGUGACCGCAUUUGCCUCCAGAAUAUACACACUUCAGAUAAGCCUGAUAAAACUGGCUCUGUGUAGUAGUGGGCUUUACCCUGCCUCUUAUGUGUAGGGGAUUAUUUUAUCCAGUCUUAAUAUCUAGUCUUCGCUUCAUGAUCUCACACAAAGAAAUCAAUGUCAACGUGAUGGAAAAAAAAAAAUCUUGACUUUUUUGCAAACCAGUCCUGUGCA
Molecule: long non-coding RNA, 557 nt
Organism: Clupea harengus (Atlantic herring)
Lineage: Eukaryota; Metazoa; Chordata; Actinopteri; Clupeiformes; Clupeidae
Source: RefSeq, a predicted model, not a curated record